This is a non-coding RNA of Schistosoma rodhaini, 46 nucleotides long. The record is from Rfam. Lineage: Eukaryota; Metazoa; Platyhelminthes; Trematoda; Strigeidida; Schistosomatidae.
GCACUGCUGAGGAGUCCCACAAUGGGACGAAACGGCUGUUCAGUGC